Molecule: unclassified non-coding RNA, 182 nt
Filed under: fungal sp.
Lineage: Eukaryota; Fungi
Description: partial internal transcribed spacer region
Rfam family: Eukaryotic small subunit ribosomal RNA (bases 1-46)
Source: RNAcentral
AAGUCGUAACAAGGUUUCCGUAGGUGAACCUGCGGAAGGAUCAUUAACACGGUAACGCGAAACAAUAUCCCUGAAAUCAUCGCCGAACAGUUUUGAUUCAGGGACUUCAAGCACGUUACUGUCCUGAUAAAAGAUCGAUGUUGCAAAAAUAAACAUAAUCAGGGGGUGAUAUCUUGGUUCUC